UUACGUCUCUCUCUCACUACGCCUCCAACUAUUUCUCUCUCUACAAACACUAAGAAUACGCCUCCAAUGAACUCUCGGUCUCUCUCUCUUGAAACCCUAGAUCGAUUACGCCUCAUUUCUUCUCCAUCCACUCUCUUCCCUUGCAGAUCUGUCAUGUCCAACUCAGAAAAUGUAGAUGGUAGGUGGAUUAAUCCACGGCACUCUCGAAUCCCGACCUCUUUCCCCGUCGACGACAUCCCACUCACCACGAAGACCUUUGCUUCCGGUGGGUUUGCAGGUGGUAGGGAUAGACGGCCGAUAUGACGAAUUGAGGUGAAAGUAGGGCCACUGAUGACGGAGAGAAAUGAUGGUCUCAAGGCUCUAGGUCCUCUACUUCCGAUGGCGUUGUUGUCGACGGGGGAGAGGGACAGUGUCUUAACUUUUUAAUUCUGCCGCUAAGAAUUGUUGACUCGGUUUUGAAAUUUUUUGAAUAUACCGCUUAAUUGAAGCAAUUUUUUUCAAUUGUGUUAGUUUAUGUUUUGUUGUUUCCAGAUUUACCAUUCAAAUUGUUUAAUUAAAGUAUUCUUAAUAUUAAUAGUUUAAAUAAUUUUGAAUAUUGUUAUAAAAAAAUUACUGUUAAAAAAAUUGGAUAAGAAUUGAAAUUAAGACUCAUUCCUAAAAUAUGUAAUCACUUUACCUAUCUUAUUACCCAUUCUGCUAUAAACACUAAUUACUCAUUCCUUAGGAUUCAUUUGGUUCGUUUGUUUGGUAUAGGACAUGUUCGGGCUUCUAGAUGGGCUCAGGUUAGGUUUGGUAUAUAAAACUGAUGUUUGAUUUCAAUGUUGAGUUUUUAGGCCAAUCUUAAAAAUUUGUUUGGUACAUAUGUUUAAUGAAGAUAUUUCACCAGACAUGACUCUUCUACCCUCUAGGGUUUCCUUGUUAAUUUUGAUUUUGGGAGGCUUUUAUACUUACGCACCUCUUUUCAUUUCCUCACUCCCACACUUUUUCCACUCUUCAGCGUUGUCUUCAUCAAAUCGGCAUCGCGUGACCUAUUCUGAUUUCGUUCUCGUUGUCCCUCAACUUCAAAUUAGGUAGUUUAACUAAAUCCGAACUUGCGCUCUGCUUGCGUUUCGUGGUGAGAGGUAUAGUAAAAUUAAUGGUGAACCAAGUGAUAUUUGUAUCUUGCUAUUGUUGUUUUAUUUGUUGUGAAAGUAGAUAUAAAAUGUGAAGGUGAUUUAUGUAGGAGUUUUCUGCUUCUGCUGCAAUCCUUAAUAGAAGGUAUUCAAGAAUUGCAAAGGGAUUUUUCUUUUGUAUUUAAAUUAUUGAUUUUAUUCUAUCUUCAUGUCAUAUCUGGAGCUCUCUUCUUUAUUCUUUCUUGUCUUCGUAUACAUCGGCUAUUGUAUGUAACACUUGUCUCUGUUUUUUAAUUGUUCAAAGGGAUGCACGGACAUAUGCACCUAGUGCCGGUGGCAGCCAAGGCACCCAAGGCCCCGCACUUAGUAUCGCCGCUCAAGCUUCCGCCCGUGCGACCGCCCUCGUAGAUCUUGGUCUGACCGUGAAGAGAUAAUGCUAAUCUCCGCUUUGAAGGAACUGGUUGCCAGAGGAUGGAAGUUAGACAAUGGCUUCCGAGGUGGAUAUGCACAGAAGAUAGAGGAAUGGUUGAAAAAUGAGUUCCCAACUACUGAUUUGAAGGCAACGCCACACAUUCAAUCCAAGAUUACUAACUGGAAAAAGACCUACUACUCGCCGUAAAAAAUACUCGACCGUAGUGGUGUUGGUUUCAACGUACACAAUGAUUUCAAAAUUGAUUGCUCGGAUGACCAAUGGGAUCAAAUCGUGAGGCAAGAUCCCAAUGCCCGCACCAUGCGGCACAACGCUUGGCCUCUAUGGGAUGAUUGGAAGAUGAUAUUUGGGAACGAUAGGGCCACUGGCGGGACUUCUGAAGGUAUUGGCGAGGCAGUGGCAAACAAUUCCAUGGAUGAGCCAAUUACAUCUAUCGGGGAAAGUGGCGAUUACUAU
Long non-coding RNA from Salvia splendens (bonfire salvia), 1998 nucleotides. RefSeq lists it as uncharacterized. The transcript has 3 exons. The record is from RefSeq and is a predicted model, not a curated record. NCBI's taxonomy places the organism in Eukaryota, Viridiplantae, Streptophyta, Magnoliopsida, Lamiales, Lamiaceae.